Molecule: long non-coding RNA, 850 nt
Filed under: Struthio camelus australis
Lineage: Eukaryota; Metazoa; Chordata; Aves; Struthioniformes; Struthionidae
Description: lncRNA (ENSSCUG00000014433.1)
Source: RNAcentral
CUUACGGUGAGGAAUAGCAACAAAAGAAGAUGCUUACACUUUUGUCCCUUGUGGAUUUCUUUUUAAUGUUUCAGAGCAAUGAACAUAUGGCUGCUACUAUCAGCACUGGUGUAUUUGCAGCGAUGCCUAUCAACAUCCACCAGAGAGCAGGGCAGCUCCAAAACCCACAUCUUUUAUGCUGUGGAAAUUGAUGGAGACAGCAACACAGCCAGCUUCUUGGCCAAACAACAUGGAAUGCAGUUCAUUUCAAAGCCUGUAAGGCUUGUGCAUGAUGUAUAUGAGAGCGAUUUCCAGCAGAGAGAAGCUUAUCACAGAUCCACCUAAAAGGUAAGUCUAUUUUUUCAGUUUUUAGUUCACAUGCAGAACAGCUGCCUGUAGAACAGCUGCCCGCAGAACAGGAAAGAAAUUUGGUUUAGGGAUUGAUUAUACAUGUCUUACCCAUACAGUAAGUCAGAAAUAAGCAUGAUGAACUUCAGAUAAACCCAGAAUGUAUAAAUGGCAAGAACAGCAAUACUAGAAUAUUUACCUCCUAAUUUUGUGCUACACUACAUUUUUAGUGCAUUUUUUUCUUCCUAAGUUGUUCAGGGCAAAGGAGAAGAGCUUGAGUAAAGUCCAGGUUUUUUAGUCUCUCCCAGAUCUGUAGUAUUCAUAUCCAUGAUUUGGGCAAGAUAAUUUACUGAAUUACAAAUCUGACAGGCAAUGCAUGCAAAAGAAUGAAUCAGUACUAUCAGCAUUCCUCGUGUUUGCUAAGGAAAACAAGGUUAACAAAUGCUAAUGAAUUUUAAGAAAAAAACAAAAGCAGAAGGAAAUGAUGAAGAAUUAAGAAAGGCAAGGAAAAAGAAGAGAGGAG